UUCUCAAUUAUAAACCACACAUAUACAACCACAAACAAAACCCGGUCCGACCAAUACCCUAAUUUUCAACUUACUUUUGUUUUAUUCCCAUGACCUUCAAAUUAUCCUGAAAACUCAAUCACACCACAAUAAGCUCGUAACCGAGUGCACUGACCGGAUUCCGAUCGUUGGCGAUGAGAGUUUUCAAGAAUCAUUAUAUCAUCGGCUACGGCGGGAAGAUUAACGUUAAUGAAAGAAGAUUAACACUCACAUAUCGAAGAUUCUGAACAUAAGUGUCCAUCUUCAUGUACCGAGCUAGGAAACCGAAGUUACAAAGUUCCCACACCAAGAUGAUUAGAGGUGAUGAGGGUGCCCAUUUGAAUUCAUAGUAAGCAACUUUUAAACUAUUUAAAUUGUUUUGCCCGUUCUUUUUUAAUUUACUUUAUACCUUAAUGAUCGGUUAAAAUUACAAGCGAAUAACACUAAGACUUCCUUAAGACUUUACAUUAUUCGUGUUAUAAUUUAUAAAUCGUUGUAAAAACGAUAAACAUUUUGAAUUUGAAUUUUCAACAACCGAUAUACAGAUUAGAGGUACGACAUUAAUAAAAAGUAUUGAUUUACCAGUGC
This 606-nucleotide long non-coding RNA is filed under the name Helianthus annuus (common sunflower). Its description in RNAcentral is "sRNA HanXRQr2_Chr05g0230171". The record is from RNAcentral. Lineage: Eukaryota; Viridiplantae; Streptophyta; Magnoliopsida; Asterales; Asteraceae.